This 187-nucleotide long non-coding RNA is filed under the name Ictidomys tridecemlineatus (thirteen-lined ground squirrel). RNAcentral describes it as "lncRNA (ENSSTOG00000031120.1)". The record is from RNAcentral. Lineage: Eukaryota; Metazoa; Chordata; Mammalia; Rodentia; Sciuridae.
CGUCAUUCUGCUUCUGUCUGCAAGGCCACCUUGAAGCAGGGACUAACAGGAGAAAACCCCGGGCCCCAUUGGGUCCCUGACUUUCCUAGCAUCGGCUCUGCUUUUCAAUGUACUGCAGACGUAGAUCCUGUACCGCAUUGAAGCCACAGCAUGGGACAUGGCUCUAUUUCACGGAGUGAGGAAUACC